Molecule: long non-coding RNA, 926 nt
Filed under: Phoenix dactylifera (date palm)
Lineage: Eukaryota; Viridiplantae; Streptophyta; Magnoliopsida; Arecales; Arecaceae
Description: long non-coding RNA (PDAC_LNC014569)
Source: RNAcentral
GCUGGCCCCGCCAGUGGCCGAAUGGACUUCGCAGUAGCAUCCGAGAGAAUGGACCACGGCGUGCCGGGGGCACGGUUUUAUAUGCAUACUUUAUGAAAAUGAUAUUUGAAGCAUGAUCAUGAGGCUCGUUUCAGAGCCUGGGUAUAUGAGGCGGGUGCUUCCAAAUCCUGCAGAUGUGUUUUUGGGGAGAAGCAAAAUCGGUGAGGGGUGAAGGACGCUUGCGUGAAGCCCCGGAACCGGCCAACAUCUGGCAGGGGAGCCCCGUGUUUCCCCCUCAUGUGGGCCCGAUAGUCACGUGCCCUGCGCAGGCGGGCCGUGACAUUUAUGAACGUGCCUGGCCAAAGCAUACAUUGUUUUACAACGGAUUUUUGAAUAUAUCCUUAUGAAAUGUUGUAUUUUGCUAUAACCGCUAUCUCCUUUAAAUGAUGCUAAUCGCAUGAAUUCUUAUGUUUUAUGAAAAUUCUGUUUGACUGAAAAUACUGCUUUGUUUUCGAAGCAUACAUAUUUUGCCAUGAUAAAUUGUGAGAUAAUACGCAUGUCAGCUUCUCAAACUCUACAUAAACAUGGUUACCAUUAUGUUCGAUCCAGUAAGAUUAUGUAUGAUUACUUACUGAGCCGUGUAGCUCAUAUCCGUUCAUUUACUUUUUCUUUCAGAUCCUUACCACUGAUAGCUGCCAGAGACACGUUAAUCUGGUAUCAGGGCUUCUUUCUUUUGGGGUAAAGCAAGUAUACUUUUGUGUACAUAAACUACAUAGAAGCUCUGUAUUUGGGUACUGACCAGCAUGAUGUACUAAGAAUGCUUUCAUAUGAAAAGAUUCGGUUGGUUUGACUACCCUGUUACCCAGGUAUGAGGCUGCGUGCUAUUGUGGGCGGUAGUCGGCAAUAGCACGGCCGUGUCACGGAUCCGGGUCCGGGGCGUGACAGUU